This is a transfer RNA of Piloderma croceum F 1598, 96 nucleotides long. It matches the Rfam family "tRNA". From Rfam's summary of the family: Transfer RNA (tRNA) molecules are approximately 80 nucleotides in length. Their secondary structure includes four short double-helical elements and three loops (D, anti-codon, and T loops). NCBI's taxonomy places the organism in Eukaryota, Fungi, Basidiomycota, Agaricomycetes, Atheliales, Atheliaceae. The record is from Rfam.
GGCGAUAUGGCCGAGCGGUCUAAGGCGCCAGAAUCAGGCUUUAAGUCACGUGAUAUCUGGUCUUUCGGGGCGAGGGUUCGAAUCCCUCUGUCGUCA